CUGUCAUAAUAGCACUUACCUCCUAGGGUAUUGUGAGGAUCAAAUGAGACAAUAUGUGUAAAAGUGCUUAGCAUAAUAGUGCCUGGCACUUAAUAAAUGCUUGUCUCCUUCCUCUCAUCCUCUUCUCUAUCUCACUCUCUCUCCCCUUUCUGACUUUUCUUUCUCAGCCCAUUUUUCUCUCACUUUUUCUUCCCCCUUCCAGAGUCUGGAUAACCACUUGUCAGGAGCGCUAAGGAGAGGAUUCCUGGGGAGAAGGACAGAAUUGGUGGAUGUGGUUGCUGUUACCAUCAGUGAUGUUUGAAAUAUCAGAAAAUGGGAGAGGUGUCAGAAUAUGAGAAAGAAAAAUGUCCCUUUAAAAAAAAAGGAAGAGGAAGAUUCUUCAACUACAUGCCAUUCCAGGAAGGAGAAGGGAAGAAAGGAGGGAGAGACAAUAUGGAUUACAUAACUUCAGAAAACUUAUGUGGAAAACUUGUUAUGAAAAUAAAAAAAAUUUAAAGUAAGAUUUAUUUUCAUAUGAACUGUCAUCUAGUUAAGUCUCUCCUACCUUGUAUUUAUAAAGUUAAUUUUUAAUUAAAAUUUUUUUCUCCUUUUAUCAUGAGCUUAACAAAUAUAAAGCUUUCUAAAGAAGAACAAAAAGAAAAGGAUUACAUAUGAAAAAGGAGAAUCUGUCAGCAAGUAGCUUUUUCAGAAAAAAUUGUGUGGGUAUUGUUCUGACCUCUUUGCAGAACAAGGCCAUCUACAUCUUUCCCUCAGGACUCUAGGAUGCCAAUAAUGGAGUUAAGGGUUGACUUUCUCUAAUGCUAUCAUCAAAAUCCCUUUCAGCUGUAUUAACCCUACCAAACUGACAAUGGGUAGCCCUCUAGUUUCAUUUAACUAAUUAACAUUGAUUAGUUCUUACAAAGUAAUAUUUACUUAAAAGAUAUAGCAAGUACAAGAGUAUCAGCAUUUCUCUUCUCUACCAGUUAGGGAGUUUGCUCUCCCCAAUAACAUCUUGAUGCCUGAGAAGGGUGGGCUCAGUUCAAAUCUCUACAU
Molecule: long non-coding RNA, 1032 nt
Filed under: Monodelphis domestica (gray short-tailed opossum)
Lineage: Eukaryota; Metazoa; Chordata; Mammalia; Didelphimorphia; Didelphidae
Description: lncRNA (ENSMODG00000039755.1)
Source: RNAcentral